GACGAACGCUGGCGGCGUGCCUAACACAUGCAAGUCGAACGGGACCAGGGGCAACUCUGGUUCAGUGGCGGACGGGUGCGUAACACGUGAGGAACAUGACCUUCGGCGGGGGAGUAGCCGGCCCAACGGCCGGGUAAGUACCGCGUACGACCACUUUGGACAUCCCUUGGUGGUGAAAGCAGCAAUGCGCCGAUGGAGUGCCUCGCGGCCUAUCAGCUAGUUGGUGAGGUAACGGCNCACCAAGGCGACGACGGGUAGCUGGUCUGAGAGGAUGGCCAGCCACAUUGGGACUGAGACACGGCCCAGACUCCUACGGGAGGCAGCAGUGGGGAAUAUUGUGCAAUGGACGAAAGUCUGACGCAGCGACGCCGCGUGUGGGAUGACGGUCUU
RNAcentral lists this ribosomal RNA (390 nucleotides) under uncultured bacterium. RNAcentral's name for it is "bacterial SSU rRNA". It matches the Rfam family "Bacterial small subunit ribosomal RNA", at positions 28 to 418 of the family's 1533-position model. The record is from RNAcentral.